UGGGGAAUAUUGCACAAUGGGCGCAAGCCUGAUGCAGCCAUGCCGCGUGUAUGAAGAAGGCCUUCGGGUUGUAAAGUACUUUCAGCGGGGAGGAAGGGAGUAAAGUUAAUACCUUUGCUCAUUACGUUACCCGCAGAAGAAGCACCGGCUAACUCCGUGCCAGCAGCCGCGGUAAUACGGAGGGUGCAAGCGUUAAUCGGAAUUACUGGGCGUAAAGCGCACGCAGGCGGUUUGUUAAGUCAGAUGUGAAAUCCCCGGGCUCAACCUGGGAACUGCAUCUGAUACUGGCAAGCUUGAGUCUCGUAGAGGGGGGUAGAAUUCCAGGUGUAGCGGUGAAAUGCGUAGAGAUCUGGAGGAAUACCGGUGGCGAAGGCGGCCCCCUGGACGAAGACUGACGCUCAGGUGCGAAAGCGUGGGGAGCAAACAGG
Molecule: ribosomal RNA, 428 nt
Filed under: Chloroflexota bacterium
Lineage: Bacteria; Bacillati; Chloroflexota
Description: Chloroflexi bacterium partial 16S ribosomal RNA
Rfam family: Bacterial small subunit ribosomal RNA
Source: RNAcentral